This 468-nucleotide ribosomal RNA is filed under the name uncultured bacterium. RNAcentral describes it as "partial 16S ribosomal RNA". It matches the Rfam family "Bacterial small subunit ribosomal RNA", at positions 28 to 507 of the family's 1533-position model. The record is from RNAcentral.
GACGAACGCUGGCGGCGUGCUUAACACAUGCAAGUCGAACGGAAAGGCCCUGCUUUUGUGGGGUGCUCGAGUGGCGAACGGGUGAGUAACACGUGAGUAACCUGCCCUUGACUUUGGGAUAACUUCAGGAAACUGGGGCUAAUACCGGAUAAGAGCUCCUGCUGCAUGGUGGGGGUUGGAAAGUUUCGGUGGUUUGGGAUGGACUGGCGGCUUAUUAGUUUGUUGGUGGGGUAGUGGCUUACCAAGGCUUUGACGGGUAGCCGGCAUGAGAGGGUGACCGGCCACAUUGGGACUGCGAUACGGCGCAGAAUCCUACGGGAGGCAGCAGUGGGAAAUAUUACAGAAUGGGCGGGAGCGAGAGACAGCGACGCCGCGUGCGGGAUGACGGGCUGUGAGUGGUGAACCGCUUUCGCCGGUGAAGAAGCGUAAGGGACGGUAAUGGGUAAAGAAGCACCGGCUAACUACGUG